CGUUUCUAGUUUUGAAAACUUUGUAAAAUAUGAUUUAAUAUCAGAGUAACUUUGCGUUUACGAUUUUCAGUAAAAUCAUGUUUUGACUUUUUAAAUUUUCCUUUCAUUUGGCGACUUUAAGAACCACAAGCAGAUGGAACAUUAAGCAGGACAAAGCUUGCAGCAUUAGCGUGACAUUAUCUGACUGCAGCCAAGAAGCUGCAAGAAACGACAGAAACGCGUGUUAACAUCGAGGGAAACGUAGAAUCUUUCUAUGCUCCGCUAUAGAGCUACGAAUGUACCAUAAAAUGAUUUAACAGCCUGCAGAACUGGGAACUUUCAUUUUCGGAGGCGAUGCGAGGCGCCUUAGCAAAGAGGAAAUAUUGUUGGAAAAAUAAAAAUUACUUCAAUUAAGCGUGGAAAUAAAAAUCAACAAAUGGUGCUAGGCAUGAAACACAACUACGGAAGGCAGAAAAUGUGAACUGAAUAAACGCAAAAUUGAUGAGAAAAUUCAAUUUGGCUCCCAGGGUCAUAAGCGGCCAUUAAAUUUUUUAAACCGAAAUUUUAGGCAAAUUUUAAGCGUAAUCACAGUUUACUAUAUUGGAGGGAAAAGUAAAGAAAAUGAAUUCCCUCAGCAGUUGAGCUACAUUAAGUCAACUCAUUAUGAAAUUACGACUGCUGCUGCUUGCAAAGAAAAAAGCCGUAAAGAAAAUAAGUAGAAAAUCGCAAUGUCGAUGACGGGAAGCACGAAAAGCCGACAAAGAAAACAAAUUAAAUUUAAUCGAUUUGUGAAAAGCUGCCAGCCAACACAACGUCAUCAACAACGAAAAACUACUGCAGAAAUAGUACAACUAAAACUAGAAGUUGGCCAAGGCGCAUAGAAAAUUAAGUGAAGUGCGCUUCAACGCGAACCAAACGGGAACCAACCAAGGACCAACGAGCAACGACCAAUGGCCAACACCAGAAAAAGCUACUUGGCGUGAAAAUCUUCCGCCUUCUCACACAUUCCCUCCCUCUCUCUCUAUCUCUCACUCUCACUAAGCGCAUUCUAAACAAAUUAAAAUUCAAUUAAAAAGAUGAAAUGUCAUUUCAGUGCUUUAUAACUAAGAACGUAGACCAGAGAUUGGCAGCAAAGCCCAGCUGGCUGCCAA
Molecule: long non-coding RNA, 1130 nt
Organism: Drosophila nasuta
Lineage: Eukaryota; Metazoa; Arthropoda; Insecta; Diptera; Drosophilidae
Exons: 3
Source: RefSeq, a predicted model, not a curated record